RNAcentral lists this ribosomal RNA (253 nucleotides) under uncultured bacterium. RNAcentral describes it as "partial 16S ribosomal RNA". It matches the Rfam family "Bacterial small subunit ribosomal RNA", at positions 524 to 776 of the family's 1533-position model. The record is from RNAcentral.
UACAGAGGUCCCAAGCGUUACUGAGAAUCACUGGGUUUAAAGGGUGCGUAGGUGGUCCGUUAAGUUCGUUGUGAAAUCCCUGGGCUCAACCCAGGAACUGCUUCGAAUACUGGCGGACUUGAGGCCAGUAGGGGUCACUAGAACUGACGGUGGAGCGGUGAAAUGCGUAGAUAUCGUUUGGAACGCCAAAGGUGAAAACAGGCGACUGGGAGUGUGCUGACGCUGAGACACGAAAGCCAGGGGAGCAAACGGG